This 253-nucleotide ribosomal RNA is filed under the name uncultured bacterium. RNAcentral describes it as "partial 16S ribosomal RNA". It matches the Rfam family "Bacterial small subunit ribosomal RNA", at positions 524 to 776 of the family's 1533-position model. The record is from RNAcentral.
UACGUAUGGUGCAAGCGUUAUCUGGAUUUACUGGGUGUAAAGGGAGCGCAGGCGGCACGGCAAGCCUGAUGUGAAAGCCCGCGGCCCAACCGCGGGACUGCAUUGGGAACUACCGGGCUGGAGUGCCGGAGAGGUAGGCGGAAUUCCUAGUGUAGCGGUGAAAUGCGUAGAUAUUAGGAGGAACACCAGUGGCGAAGGCGGCCUACUGGACGGUGACUGACGCUGAGGCUCGAAAGCGUGGGGAGCAAACAGG